Molecule: ribosomal RNA, 301 nt
Filed under: uncultured bacterium
Lineage: Bacteria
Description: partial 16S ribosomal RNA
Rfam family: Bacterial small subunit ribosomal RNA
Source: RNAcentral
CAGCCGCCGCGGGAAAACGAAGGGGGCUAGCGUUGUUCGGAAUUACUGGGCGUAAAGCGCACGUAGGCGGAUAUUUAAGUCAGGGGUGAAAUCCCAGAGCUCAACUCUGGAACUGCCUUUGAUACUGGGUAUCUUGAGUAUGGAAGAGGUUAGUGGAAUUGCGAGUGUAGAGGUGAAAUUCGUAGAUAUUCGCAGGAACACCAGUGGCGAAGGCGGCUAACUGGUCCAUAACUGACGCUGAGGUGCGAAAGCGUGGGGAGCAAACAGGAUUAGAUACCCCUGUAGUCCCUGUCUCUUAUAC